Molecule: long non-coding RNA, 217 nt
Organism: Panicum virgatum (switchgrass)
Lineage: Eukaryota; Viridiplantae; Streptophyta; Magnoliopsida; Poales; Poaceae
Exons: 2
Source: RefSeq, a predicted model, not a curated record
ACACAAGCAUGGAUUAUCUCCAAUAAAGAGAGGUUGCCAUUUGAAAAGGAUCUACACGGUGGUGCAAGAAGUAAUCCUGUCGAGUCCAGCAAUGAGAAGGUGAAAGUGUCAACCUGUGUAAAAUUAAUAUUGUUUUGUAUUUACAAAAUGUUGUGUUAAACCUAUAUAUCCUAGCCAAUAAAUUGCAAAUUAUUUAAAAUGUGCCUACACCGACCUC